Carassius carassius (crucian carp) is the source of this 462-nucleotide long non-coding RNA. RefSeq lists it as uncharacterized. NCBI's taxonomy places the organism in Eukaryota, Metazoa, Chordata, Actinopteri, Cypriniformes, Cyprinidae. The record is from RefSeq and is a predicted model, not a curated record. The transcript has 2 exons.
AGUUUGGCGCUCGUGGCGGGAGCUCGAUAUGGUAAACAACGCCAAAUGACGAUUUCCUGGAAAAGUCUGUCAAGAGUUAAGUCAUUCAGCGUUUGUCAACUGAUGCUUUAAAAGUAACUGUAGUUGUCUAAGAAUUUAUACCAUAUAUAUAUUUUACCCCCUUUUCAGACACUUACGACAUACAACUCCAAGCUGUGUUGAAAGCUGGGAACAAAAGUUUAUGUUCUAUCAAGAUCUAAUGAAACAAAGCAGGGUUUACCAAAUACUCCCCUGAUCUACCAUUUGUUGGACCAACAGAUAAUCCCGCCCCCCAACCUCAGGCUAUUGGUUAGGCCAGUGUUGUUGUGUUGGACUGGUCAGGAUGCUCAAAUAAACAGGGCCUCAGUGUUUACACAUUUCAUGCAAAUCAUCCUACAAAUCACUUACUUAUAGUUGUCUGUACAUAUUAAACUUGAAUAUGAG